GUCCGCAUGGCGCAGUCGGAAGUGCGCGCGGCACCAAACUGAUAGUUGCAGGUUCGACCCCCACUGAUGUCA
Caenorhabditis brenneri is the source of this 72-nucleotide non-coding RNA. The record is from the annotation of a GenBank genome assembly. Lineage: Eukaryota; Metazoa; Nematoda; Chromadorea; Rhabditida; Rhabditidae.